Molecule: ribosomal RNA, 468 nt
Filed under: uncultured bacterium
Lineage: Bacteria
Description: partial 16S ribosomal RNA
Rfam family: Bacterial small subunit ribosomal RNA
Source: RNAcentral
GACGAACGCUGGCGGCGUGCUUAACACAUGCAAGUCGAACGGAAAGGCCCUGCUUUUGUGGGGUGCUCGAGUGGCGAACGGGUGAGUAACAAGUGAGUAACCUGCCCUUGACUUUGGGAUAACUUCAGGAAACUGGGGCUAAUACAGGAUAGGAGCUCCUGCUGCAUGGUGGGGGUUGGAAAGUUUCGGCGGUUGGGGAUGGACUCGCGGCUUAUCAGCUUGUUGGUGGGGUAGUGGCUUACCAAGGCUUUGACGGGUAGCCGGCCUGAGAGGGUGACCGGCCACAUUGGGACUGAGAUACGGCCCAGACGCCUACGGGAGGCAGCAGUGGGGAAUAUUGCACAAUGGGCGGAAGCCGGAUGCAGCAACGCCGCGUGCGGGAUGACGGCCUUCGGGUUGUAAACCGCUUUCGCCUGUGACGAAGCGUGAGUGACGGUAAUGGGUAAAGAAGCACCGGCUAACUACGUG